UACGUAGGGGGCAAGCGUUGUCCGGAUUUAUUGGGCGUAAAGAGCUCGUAGGCGGCCACUCAAGUCGAAUGUGAAACCUCGAGGCUUAACCUCGAGCCUGCAUUCGAUACUGGGCGGCUAGAGUCUGGUAGGGGGAUCUGGAAUUCCUGGUGUAGCGGUGAAAUGCGCAGAUAUCAGGAGGAACACCGGUGGCGAAGGCGGGUCUCUGGGCCGAUACUGACGCUGAGGAGCGAAAGCGUGGGGAGCGAACAGG
This 253-nucleotide ribosomal RNA is filed under the name uncultured bacterium. Its description in RNAcentral is "partial 16S ribosomal RNA". It matches the Rfam family "Bacterial small subunit ribosomal RNA", at positions 524 to 776 of the family's 1533-position model. The record is from RNAcentral.